UACGUAGGGUGCGAGCGUUGUCCGGAAUUAUUGGGCGUAAAGGGCUCGUAGGCGGUCUGUCACGUCGGGAGUGAAAACUCAGGGCUUAACCCUGAGCCUGCUUCCGAUACGGGCAGACUAGAGGUAUGCAGGGGAGAAUGGAAUUCCUGGUGUAGCGGUGAAAUGCGCAGAUAUCAGGAGGAACACCCGUAGCGAAGGCGGCACUCUGGGCCGAUACUGACACUGAGGAGCGAAAGCGUGGGGAGCAAACAGG
Molecule: ribosomal RNA, 253 nt
Filed under: uncultured bacterium
Lineage: Bacteria
Description: partial 16S ribosomal RNA
Rfam family: Bacterial small subunit ribosomal RNA
Source: RNAcentral